UACGAAGGGGGCUAGCGUUGCUCGGAAUCACUGGGCGUAAAGCGCACGUAGGCGGACUGUUAAGUCAGGGGUGAAAUCCUGGAGCUCAACUCCAGAACUGCCUUUGAUACUGGGAGUCUUGAGUUCGGGAGAGGUGAGUGGAACUGCGAGUGUAGAGGUGAAAUUCGUAGAUAUUCGCAAGAACACCAGUGGCGAAGGCGGCUCACUGGCCCGAUACUGACGCUGAGGUGCGAAAGCGUGGGGAGCAAACAGG
Molecule: ribosomal RNA, 253 nt
Filed under: uncultured bacterium
Lineage: Bacteria
Description: partial 16S ribosomal RNA
Rfam family: Bacterial small subunit ribosomal RNA
Source: RNAcentral